AAGAAAGUGGUAGAUUGGUUAUAUAAUUAACUUGAAAUUAAUUUAAGGGGGUUCAAUUCCUUCCUUUCUUG
RNAcentral lists this transfer RNA (71 nucleotides) under Salamandra lanzai (Lanza's fire salamander). RNAcentral's name for it is "tRNA-Asp". It matches the Rfam family "tRNA". From Rfam's summary of the family: Transfer RNA (tRNA) molecules are approximately 80 nucleotides in length. Their secondary structure includes four short double-helical elements and three loops (D, anti-codon, and T loops). Further hydrogen bonds mediate the characteristic L-shaped molecular structure. tRNAs have two regions of fundamental functional importance: the anti-codon, which is responsible for specific mRNA codon recognition, and the 3' end, to which the tRNAs corresponding amino acid is attached (by aminoacyl-tRNA synthetases). tRNAs cope with the degeneracy of the genetic code in two manners: having more than one tRNA (with a specific anti-codon) for a particular amino acid; and 'wobble' base-pairing, i.e. permitting non-standard base-pairing at the 3rd anti-codon position. The record is from RNAcentral. Lineage: Eukaryota; Metazoa; Chordata; Amphibia; Caudata; Salamandridae.